This 90-nucleotide transfer RNA is filed under the name Gammaproteobacteria bacterium. RNAcentral describes it as "tRNA-Ser". It matches the Rfam family "tRNA". Rfam says of the family: Transfer RNA (tRNA) molecules are approximately 80 nucleotides in length. Lineage: Bacteria; Pseudomonadati; Pseudomonadota; Gammaproteobacteria. The record is from RNAcentral.
GGAGGGGUGGCAGAGCGGUUGAAUGCACUGGUCUUGAAAACCAGCGAGGGCGAAAGUCCUCCGAGAGUUCGAAUCUCUCCUCCUCCGCCA